UACAGAGGUCUCAAGCGUUGUUCGGAUUCAUUGGGCGUAAAGGGUGCGUAGGUGGCGGGGUAAGUCAGGUGUGAAAUCUCGAGGCUCAACCUCGAAACUGCACUUGAUACUGCCUUGCUCGAGUACUGGAGAGGAGAUUGGAAUUUACGGUGUAGCAGUGAAAUGCGUAGAUAUCCGGAGGAACACCAGUGGCGAAGGCGGCCACCUGGGCUGUACCUGACGCUCAAACACGAAAGCUAGGGGAGCGAACGGG
Molecule: ribosomal RNA, 253 nt
Filed under: uncultured bacterium
Lineage: Bacteria
Description: partial 16S ribosomal RNA
Rfam family: Bacterial small subunit ribosomal RNA
Source: RNAcentral